ACCAGUGCAGGGCUCCAGUUGCUCUGCAGUGUGGGUGCAGUCCAGCUGCAGCUCGUCCCAUCAAGCAGCAGCUACUUGCCCUUCCGCCCACAAUGGUGAAGUCACAGCAGGUGAUGCUGUAGGAGAUGGGUCUCCUCUUUGAGCUUUUCUGCUCUUUCACCAGGUACCAGUGUCCAGCCUGUUGGAGAUGGUGGCUCCUGAGAAAGCAGCACCAGCAUGAAGUGGUGACCAAAGCAUGACUGCAUCAUGACCCAGUCAACAGCACCUGGAAGGUUAAUGUCUGUGGCAAGAAAAACGAUGUCUUCUCCCUGAAGGGUGGUAAUGCUUUUGUGGGCAUGCAUAAGGUGGGACAUCACGGCUUCCAGAGAUCCCUGCCAUUUACAGGAGGCUCCAGGACACGGGCAGGAGUAGGGACGAUACUCACAGAUGUCUUCGUGUUCUGGCUUUUCUGUGUGAUGUAGUGUCAGAGAGCAGCCUGUCGUUGCGUACUGGAAAAAGACCAAAUACAAGGCAUCAGGAAACAUGCCCAGCAUAACUGUUCAUUGCUCCCACCUCUGAUCAACUAGAACUCUCGUUUUCAUUGCAAAUUUUAUAUUAGAUACUUUUAUUUAGCUCUGAACUUAGAGCUGAGCUUAUUUUUUUUUCCCUCUUAAAAAUAGGUUAUUCCUGUACUUUGUUGUUGUUGUUUGUUUUUAAUGCAAGCACUUAGAUAAAAUGGAUUAUAAGGUUGAGUUGUAAAUAGAUUUGCUGAUGUAGUUAGAUCUGAUCAGCUGAAGUGGUCCUGGUAUGAAUUUUUCUUUUCUUUAAAAUGAAAAAAAUGAUGCUAGUUUGGGCAAACAGCUACUAGAGUGGUGUAUUUUUAAUAAAUACACCUAAUUACCAUCACAGAGCAAAUGCAUUUCCAUUAAACUAAAAUGCAGAAUCCCAACAGUUUUAACACUGGAACAGUUUCAACAUUGCAGUUGUGCGGAGUGGGAAGACAGAUGAUGAUUUUUUCACUGAGCGUGAGGCGGGUGCACAAAUAAGCACCAUGUGACUUCUCUUAAUGUCUCUGGGCACCUCUGAAGGUUAAUCUGCUUUAAACAAACAGGGAUGCUUUUCCUUUUUCUACAGUGAGUUCAGCGGUCUACACUGACUACAUUGCUUCCUCAUUACCUCUAGAGAGAAAAAAAAAAAUCCUUCCUGUUCUUUCCAAGGGCAUAGCUGCCCCAGCCUGUAGAGAGCUGUGGUGUUAUCUACAACACUGCUAGCACUAUCGUGAAGGUUAUAGCUUGUGUGCAUGGCUGCUUACAGAUGCUACAACACUUCCUUGAGGACAGACAUUCUUCUUUGAGACUAAAUGUGAGGACCACAUCUUUGCCAUCCUAAAGAGCAUGUCUGAAGUGCCAGAAGGCUGGCUGAAAAAAAACAAGUCUGUCUGUAUGGACUUCUGUUUUAAAAAGUCAGCAAAGGAAACCCCAACAUUUAAAUGCUUAUUUUUGGAUUAAUACAAGCGCAAGAGGUUUCAGCUCAAAGGGUUACAUGCCUGAGAUGCAAAAAGACAGAAUCCUCUUCAGUUCUGGCAAAUCACCCAUGCUGCAACACAGUGCUAGAAGUACCAGGACAGAAACUAUAGCUUGGGCUUCUGUAGGAGCUUGUUUUAUAAGCCAUAAUAUGGUAAUGUGGGCCUUCGUUUACUGUGCCUGCCCCUGCUGCUUAAUCCUCUGCAAAAGGAUUUAUUCCCACAUGUGAGCAGGAGAUGCAGGAGGGCAGAGGUGUGCUGCAGUGCAAUGGGACUGUCCUCCUGCCAAAGAGAGAAGCCCCAUCAGGCAAACACGCAGAUCCCAGUGCCAGCUGCAUGGUCACCGUACACUUCUUCUGUUUUCUCCCCACGUUCAUAUCCCUGCUGACACUUCAAUCGCACUGAACUGUGUUGAAGAGCUGCUCUGAGUAACAAAAACCUAAGUAAGAAUAUAUAGCUGCUGGCUGGGCAAAACCAGACGUCUACAUAGACCAACAUCCUGCCUCAAAAAGUGACCAGUGGUGAACACAGCAAGAGCAUGAAGUUCACUGGUGGUUUUUUCCAUCACUGUGUGACAUACCUCCUUUUGUUUGUUCCUGAACACAGUGAUGCUGGGGACAUUUGGCGAGCCCUACUGACAAUGGGAGAUUGUGAACAGAAUUACAGAAUGGUUUCAUUUGGAAGAGACCCUUAAAGAUCAUCUAGGAACAGAGAAAACUUGCUGUCCUCAUGCUGCUUGGUAAACUGUCAUUGGUAUUCACUGUACCCCUCAUUCACACUGAAAAGUCUUUCCCUGUGUACAGGUUAUACAAUACCUUUGAUCUACUUGCACCUUCUACCUUUUCCACUUCUACUAUGACCUUGAUGAGACGGGAACCAGGGCUGCAUGUGGUAUUAGCACACAUGUGCCACUAAUGCCUGGGUUGAUGUGACUGUUUUAUGCUUUUUUGUUGUCUUUCUCUCCAUUUCUAGUAUUCCAGUUUUUAGAAGUAUUAUGUACUUGUUUUCACAGUAUUUUAUUUAGCACCAUAUUUGCUUUCCUAAGAGGAAACAGCUCAGAAGUCAUCAUGAUAUAUAUAACUUAGCGUUCCAUAUUUUUGCCAUAUAUGUCACUUCAGAGGUGUUGGUCUGGGCUUCACUUUGACAGGAUAUCUGAGUGCCUUAAAGCAUUCUGAAAACAUUGUCUAAGCUUGAAAGUGCUUGGCAGGGACAGGCCAGUAUUGCUGACCUCAUAAAUGCAGGCAGGCAGCGACACGGGAUUAAAGUAACUUGUCUGGAGCCACGAGGGAAAUCAGUAGCAGAGCUGGGAAUAGACUGCCAAGUCCAAAUCCCUAUCCUGCUCCAGCCAGCAGACUCUCCCUGCAGUAUACAAGUAGCUUGAGAUACAAAUUAUGCUUCCAGGAAAGAAAAAGCCUGCCUGCUCCUGUAUGUAUGUAGAACAGCAGUGUUCAGGGACACAACAAGGAUUUACAUCCCCCUUGUGCUUUUCCCUCCUCCUGUGUUUUGUAGAAUAUCCAUCCCUGCUUUUAAGAUCCUUCCAUCCUUUCAAAGCUUUCAUUCAAGCUCAGUGACAGAUGCUCAGCACCAUCUAGCAGUGAUGUGAGAUCUGCUGGAGACACACAGCGGGGUCCAGCCCCCAAACCAGUGAGUCUCUGCUUCCCAGAGUCUUAUUCGUGUGAGAGAGAACGUUUGGGCUGCCACUGGCUGCCUGGUAGAGUGCCUCUGGAAACUCCGCUGUGCUAGCAGUGCUGGGUGUUCUGCUACAGCUCACCUGGGAAAGGGCCAGUGAGCGCUGUGCCAUUAAAUCCAGAGUGCACAGGCCCUAUACAUGUGCAAAUAGGGUAACAUAGGCAGAUCUCCAUGUGUAAGGGAUCUCUGAUCAAUUAAAGACAUUAAACAGUAAAUAUUAGAGCUUAGGGAUAUGGUUUAGUGGGGACUGUUAGUGUUAGGUUAGAGGUUGGACUCGAUGAUCUUGAGGUCUCUUCCAACCUAGAAAUUCUGUGAUUCUGUGAUUAAGCAAAACAAGCAUGCAUUUUUAUCAGAAAGAAAAGCAAAAGACCACUUUAUUAGAGUUUAUUGUGUCUUAUAUGUAUGAUCUUGUUUUAGUUUGUUGAAAAUCUUAAAAAUUACUUUUUUUUUUAAAUUAAGAAAAUUUUUGAAGAGGCCAUACAGUAGGCAUUAGAUAACAUGCAGAAGUUUCCAUACAAUACUAACAUGAAUAUGCUAUUUGUCUGCAAGUGGUUUGCGUACGUAGGAAGCCUGUCAUUCUUUCCCUUGAAGCGAUGGUGUAGCAGAAGUGGUCUAAGGACAUACAGCAUCUCUGUGUACCUCCUACCACGUGUCUGAAGAAAAUCUGAGGGAGUGAUCAGUCCGAUAUAUGAUUAGAACCAUCUGAAAACUCAGAAAUAUGGCAAUACCUCUACUUAGAGAUGGCUGUAUUAAAGGAUCUUGGAAGACCUUC
Anas platyrhynchos (mallard) is the source of this 3962-nucleotide non-coding RNA. NCBI's taxonomy places the organism in Eukaryota, Metazoa, Chordata, Aves, Anseriformes, Anatidae. The record is from RefSeq and is a predicted model, not a curated record.